This 332-nucleotide long non-coding RNA is filed under the name Trifolium pratense (red clover). RNAcentral describes it as "long non-coding RNA (TPRA_LNC009271)". Lineage: Eukaryota; Viridiplantae; Streptophyta; Magnoliopsida; Fabales; Fabaceae. The record is from RNAcentral.
UUAAAUUCAUUAAAUAUUUUGAAUUUGGAUUAAAGAAAAAGAAUUGGAGAUAAAAAUUANNNNNNNNNNNNNNNAAUUGAUGAAAAGCUUCUCUGAGAAUAAAGCUUAGCUCUUUACAAGCAAUUGGGUAUCUGUAGAUUUUUGAUAGAGACUCUGUUAGGUCAAGUUUUUGGUAUCUCUCUAAUGGGGUUGACAUUGUUUGUUCUCAAUUGAAGACAAAGGAUCAAACAACAACGUUGGUAUUGUUGAGAAACAUUAUUGGAGAGAAUGAUGGAUGUGUCGGAUUUGAUUUGAAACCUAGUCUUUAACCUUUCAAUUUUUUUUCACCUAAC